CCUGAUUUGCCCAGUACUGAGGGGUUCCCCUUUCUGAUUUUCCACUGAUUCAUUAGACAACUAUGUAUUAAGCAUAGACUUUGUGCCAGGCACUGUUCUAAAGGCUGGGGAGAUGGAAAUGGCAGUGGAGGGAAGAGACUUGCCUUCUUAGAACUUCAAUUCCACUGAGAUGGACAACAAGACAGACACAUGGGUGUCAGGUGCUUGGUGGAAGUAGAGCUGGAAAGCGGAGGCAGGCAGAGCUGCAGGUCUUUG
Molecule: long non-coding RNA, 255 nt
Filed under: Homo sapiens (human)
Lineage: Eukaryota; Metazoa; Chordata; Mammalia; Primates; Hominidae
Description: HSALNT0198050
Source: RNAcentral